GACGAACGCUGACGGUGUGCUUUAGACAUGCAAGUCGAACGAGAAAGCCCUUCGGGUUAGUAAGUAGGCGAACGGGUGAGUAACACGUGGGCAAUCUGCCCCUCGCAGGGGGACGAACCGGAGGAAACUACCGGCUAAUACCCCGUAACGUUCAAAGGGAGGCAUCUCUCUUCGAAGAAAGGUAGCUUCGGCCAUCCGGCGAGGAUGAGCCCGCGGUGCAUUAGCUAGUUGGUGGGGUAACGGCCUACCAAGGCGACGAUGCAUAGCUGGUCUGAGAGGAUGAUCAGCCACACUGGGACUGAGACACGGCCCAGACUCCUACGGGAGGCAGCAGUCGGGAAUCUUGCGC
This 349-nucleotide ribosomal RNA is filed under the name uncultured bacterium. RNAcentral's name for it is "bacterial SSU rRNA". It matches the Rfam family "Bacterial small subunit ribosomal RNA", at positions 28 to 369 of the family's 1533-position model. The record is from RNAcentral.